AUAGAAGUGUCAGAAAAAGGUAUGAGUUGAUUUUAAGCGUCAAGUAUGGGCUUAAUGCUCCUUCUAUU
This 68-nucleotide transfer RNA is filed under the name Euryhaliotrema johni. RNAcentral's name for it is "tRNA-Leu". Lineage: Eukaryota; Metazoa; Platyhelminthes; Monogenea; Dactylogyridea; Ancyrocephalidae. The record is from RNAcentral.